GGGGGAUUAGCUCAGCUGGUAGAGCGCUUCCAUGGCAUGGAAGAGGCCAUCGGUUCGAAUCCGUUAUCCUCCA
RNAcentral lists this transfer RNA (73 nucleotides) under Bacteroidota bacterium. Its description in RNAcentral is "tRNA-Ala". It matches the Rfam family "tRNA". Rfam says of the family: Transfer RNA (tRNA) molecules are approximately 80 nucleotides in length. Their secondary structure includes four short double-helical elements and three loops (D, anti-codon, and T loops). Further hydrogen bonds mediate the characteristic L-shaped molecular structure. tRNAs have two regions of fundamental functional importance: the anti-codon, which is responsible for specific mRNA codon recognition, and the 3' end, to which the tRNAs corresponding amino acid is attached (by aminoacyl-tRNA synthetases). tRNAs cope with the degeneracy of the genetic code in two manners: having more than one tRNA (with a specific anti-codon) for a particular amino acid; and 'wobble' base-pairing, i.e. permitting non-standard base-pairing at the 3rd anti-codon position. The record is from RNAcentral. Lineage: Bacteria; Pseudomonadati; Bacteroidota.